CCUACGGGUGGCUGCAGUGGGGGAUCUUGCACAAUGGAGGAAACUCUGAUGCAGCGACGCCGCGUGAGGGAAGAAGGUCUUCGGAUUGUAAACCUCUGUCUUUGGGGAAGAAAAUGACGGUAACCAAAGAGGAAGCUCCGGUAAACUCCGUGCCAGUAGCCGCGGUAAUACGUAGGGAGCGAGCGUUGUCCGGAAUUACUGGGUGUAAAGGGAGCGUAGGCGGGCGGUAAAGUUGAAUGUUAAAUCUACCGGCUUAACUGGUAGCUGCGUUCCAUACUUCUUGUCUAGAGUGAAGUAGAGGGAGGCGGAAUUCCUAGUGUAGCGGUGAAAUGCGUAGAUAUUAGGAGGAACACCAGUGGCGAAGGCGGCCUGCUGGGCUUUAACUGACGCUGAGGCUCGAAGGCGAGGGGAGCGAACAGGAUUAGAUACCCUUGUAGUC
RNAcentral lists this ribosomal RNA (439 nucleotides) under uncultured bacterium. Its description in RNAcentral is "partial 16S ribosomal RNA". It matches the Rfam family "Bacterial small subunit ribosomal RNA", at positions 338 to 795 of the family's 1533-position model. The record is from RNAcentral.